RNAcentral lists this ribosomal RNA (540 nucleotides) under uncultured Geobacteraceae bacterium. Its description in RNAcentral is "bacterial SSU rRNA". It matches the Rfam family "Bacterial small subunit ribosomal RNA", at positions 9 to 526 of the family's 1533-position model. The record is from RNAcentral. Lineage: Bacteria; Pseudomonadati; Thermodesulfobacteriota; Desulfuromonadia; Geobacterales; Geobacteraceae.
GAGUUUGAUCCUGGCUCAGAACGAACGCUGGCGGCGUGCCUAACACAUGCAAGUCGAACGUGAUCCAGAGCUUGCUCUGGUGAAAGUGGCGCACGGGUGAGUAACGCGUGGAUAACCUACCCUGGUAUCCGGGAUAACAUUCCGAAAGGGGUGCUAAUACCGGAUAAGCCCACGGGCUCUUUGGAGCUUGCGGGAAAAGGUGGCCUCUAUUUAUAAGCUACUGUAUCAGGAUGGGUCCGCGUACCAUUAGCUAGUUGGCGGUGUAACGGACCACCAAGGCGACGAUGGUUAGCUGGUCUGAGAGGAUGAUCAGCCACACUGGAACUGAGACACGGUCCAGACUCCUACGGGAGGCAGCAGUGGGGAAUUUUGCGCAAUGGGGGAAACCCUGACGCAGCAACGCCGCGUGAGUGAUGAAGGCCUUUGGGUCGUAAAGCUCUGUCAGAGGGGAAGAAAUGAUAUAGUGCUAAUACCACUUUAUCUUGACGGUACCCUCGAAGGAAGCACCGGCUAACUCCGUGCCAGCAGCCGCGGUAAUAC